CUUGAGAAUUACUAUUUUACAUGGCCCAAUUAUAAGGUCGACAAGCAAAACCCGCUGAUAACUAAAUUUUCUGUCAAUAUAAUUCGAAUUCGCUUUACAACUUCCACAAAUGUCAAUAAUACUUGCUUUCUUUGUCAAAACAUUUAUUAUUUACAUUCGAAAAAAAUGAAAAUAUGAAAGAAAAGGGGUUUUUUGAAUUAACUCCAUGCUGCUGACACUGUGGAGACCCAAUAAUGGCUCGAUGGCACCAGGAACAUUCUUUCCUCUCCUUUAGAGUUAGAGGAGGCUGUGGAAGUGGCGUACAUCGGGUAUCAACCUUUUCCCAAAUAAAUGUGUAAAAAGGGCGAACAAAAAGGAUAACCAACACUAAAUUUGUCGGCGAUAAGGGCAACAGUAGAGAUGCUAGGGUAGCCUAACCCUGAAUUGAGCUCGAUUCGGAGUUCUGUACCUAUUCCGCAAAUACGGUAAGUCAAACUAACUCUAAAUCCUUUUGUUUAGCCUUUCCUAAUAAUCUCUCUUUCUUUUCUUUUCAUAUGCGGAAUCUAAUUAAUUGGCUUGUCGUCCGUCGGUCUGUCCGAGUAUGUUGUAAGAUUGUCUAUUGGGAUCGAGAAUAAUACCCAUGCAUGCCAGUCUGGUCAUGCAUAAACACUGCGCCUCCCUCGGUGGAUUGAACGGUGUUGAGUGGACUCCCGGUGUGGCCUCCAGUCGUUGUUGAUGUUGCUUUUGUCUUGGCGUUCCUUUGAGUUUUUAAAGUCUUUAUGUAUUGGUAUUAUUUUUUCAUAUUUUAAGCAGUGUUUAUUUCCUGUUUUUUUUUUUUUUUGUAUUACAGUUUUUCUUACAGCUUUGCUUUCGCUUUAAUUUUUCUUUAAAGCACUAUUUUGUAAGAGCUAUAUGUGUUAAUAUAGUUAUAUUUAGCUCAUUAUUUUGCUUAGUUAAAUAUAAUUAGUUGUGCCAAUAUUAGGUAAUAAUAAUAAUAGCAUUGAUUUUGAUUUAUUAAUAAAAAUUA
Long non-coding RNA from Musca domestica (house fly), 1006 nucleotides. RefSeq lists it as uncharacterized. The record is from RefSeq and is a predicted model, not a curated record. The transcript has 3 exons. NCBI's taxonomy places the organism in Eukaryota, Metazoa, Arthropoda, Insecta, Diptera, Muscidae.